RNAcentral lists this ribosomal RNA (524 nucleotides) under Vibrio sp. 2Bb2S43. RNAcentral describes it as "bacterial SSU rRNA". It matches the Rfam family "Bacterial small subunit ribosomal RNA", at positions 371 to 886 of the family's 1533-position model. Lineage: Bacteria; Pseudomonadati; Pseudomonadota; Gammaproteobacteria; Vibrionales; Vibrionaceae. The record is from RNAcentral.
AUGGGCGCAAGCCUGAUGCAGCCAUGCCGCGUGUGUGAAGAAGGCCUUCGGGUUGUAAAGCACUUUCAGUCGUGAGGAAGGCGGGUACGUUAAUAGCGUAUUCGUUUGACGUUAGCGACAGAAGAAGCACCGGCUAACUCCGUGCCAGCAGCCGCGGUAAUACGGAGGGUGCGAGCGUUAAUCGGAAUUACUGGGCGUAAAGCGCAUGCAGGUGGUUCGUUAAGUCAGAUGUGAAAGCCCGGGGCUCAACCUCGGAACAGCAUUUGAAACUGGCGGACUAGAGUACUGUAGAGGGGGGUAGAAUUUCAGGUGUAGCGGUGAAAUGCGUAGAGAUCUGAAGGAAUACCGGUGGCGAAGGCGGCCCCCUGGACAGAUACUGACACUCAGAUGCGAAAGCGUGGGGAGCAAACAGGAUUAGAUACCCUGGUAGUCCACGCCGUAAACGAUGUCAUACUUGGAGGUUGUGGCCUUGAGCCGUGGCUUUCGGAGCUAACGCGUUAAGUAGACCGCCUGGGGAGUACGGU